AGCUCUGCUUCAGCUGUGGGGCCUCAGGAGGCAGGACUCAGGGAUGACCUCCACCAUGGCCUGGGCCCCUCUCCUCUUCACCCUCCUGGCUCACUGCACAGGAUCCUGGGCCCAGUCUGUGCUGACUCAGCCAUCCUCAGUGUCGGGGGCCCCGGGCGAGAGGGUCACCAUCUCCUGCACUGGAAGCAGCACCAACAUUGGGGGUGGUUACUAUGUGCACUGGUACCAACAGCUCCCAGGAAAGGCCCCCAAACUCUUCAUCUAUGAGAGUAGCAAACGGCCCUCAGGGAUUCCGGACCGAUUCUCUGGCUCCAGGUCUGGCAGCUCAGCCUCCCUGACCAUCACAGGGCUGCAGGCUGAGGACGAGGCCGACUAUUUCUGCCAGUCCUAUGACAAGAAUCUGGAUGCUUGCACAGUGCUGCAGGCCUGUGGGGAAGUGAGACAAAAACCCGCUGUCCCGCUACAAGGCCCUCACAGCAGCCUCCUCCUGGACACAAAACCUUUCACGGAACGGGAGGCCCAUCCCAUCAGCGGGGACACUGAGCCCCUUGGCCCUGAGCCCCAGGUCUGA
Molecule: non-coding RNA, 571 nt
Organism: Myotis daubentonii (Daubenton's bat)
Lineage: Eukaryota; Metazoa; Chordata; Mammalia; Chiroptera; Vespertilionidae
Source: the annotation of a RefSeq genome assembly